RNAcentral lists this ribosomal RNA (508 nucleotides) under uncultured bacterium. Its description in RNAcentral is "bacterial SSU rRNA". It matches the Rfam family "Bacterial small subunit ribosomal RNA", at positions 29 to 521 of the family's 1533-position model. The record is from RNAcentral.
AUUGAACGCUGGCGGCAUGCCUAACACAUGCAAGUCGAACGGCAGCACGGGUCGGGUAACCGACUGGGUGGCGAGUGGCGAACGGGUGAGUAACGCGUGGGGAUAUACCCUGAAGAUGGGGAUAACUUGGGGAAACUCAAGCUAAUACCGAAUAAGCUCUUAGGAGGAAAGCUGGGGACCGCAAGGCCUGGCGCUUUAGGAAUAACCUGCGUCCGAUUAGCUAGUUGGUGGGGUAAAGGCCUACCAAGGCGACGAUCGGUAGCUGGUCUGAGAGGACGAACAGCCACACUGGGACUGAGACACGGCCCAGACUCCUACGGGAGGCAGCAGUGGGGAAUAUUGGACAAUGGGGGCAACCCUGAUCCAGCAAUGCCGCGUGUGUGAAGAAGGCCUGAGGGUUGUAAAAGCACUUUUGUUAGGGAGGAGGGUUUAUUGGUUAAGAGCUGAUGAACUGGACGUUACCUAAAGAAAAAAGCAACCGGCUAAACUCCGUGCCAGCAGCCGCGGU